Molecule: long non-coding RNA, 294 nt
Filed under: Cricetulus griseus (Chinese hamster)
Lineage: Eukaryota; Metazoa; Chordata; Mammalia; Rodentia; Cricetidae
Description: lncRNA (ENSCGRG00000026354.1)
Source: RNAcentral
AAGUGUCUCAUAUGCACAUUUUUACCUGCACUGACCUCAUUUCCUGCUUAUUCUAUUUGUGGCUCCAGAUGGAAUCUGUCAGUCUCAUUGCAAACAUGUUUGAGGUAAAGCUGCUAAGACAUGGACGUGCCCAACAAGCCCAGAAUAUGGCACACCUCUGAGAUGACUGUCCUCAGCUUCAAGAAGACACAGCCCUGAAUCCAGAAUAUGGGAGUUACCAGCAAGACUGUGGUGAGCUCUGUGCGACUGCCUUCUCUAUCUUCACUAUUCUUAACUCAAAGUUGUGUCAUCAUU